Long non-coding RNA from Oxyura jamaicensis (ruddy duck), 2241 nucleotides. RefSeq lists it as uncharacterized. NCBI's taxonomy places the organism in Eukaryota, Metazoa, Chordata, Aves, Anseriformes, Anatidae. The transcript is spliced from 2 exons. The record is from RefSeq and is a predicted model, not a curated record.
CGGAGGGGCCGAGGUUUUGCAGGAGCGGGUCGCGCUGCCCCGUGGCUGUGCAGGGCCGUGAUUACGGAGCGCCCUGCCCGGGCAGAAAUGGGAAACGCUGCGAGCCUGCGGGGACAGCACCGAGCCCGGAGGGUUGGGGAGCUCGGAGCCCACUCGAGAGCCGGGUGUGGGGCAGGGAGCUGCAGGUGGAUGAGCAGCAGUGGGAUGCGGCGCUUGCCCCUUGGAGCAGGGCGCGCUCGGCUUUCACUUUCUCAUCAGCAGCUUUUUGAGGAGGGUAAGGACUUCUUCCAGCACAGGAGAAAUCAGGAACUGAGAUAUUAAAAAUAAAUAAAUCUCAGUCCCCCAUGGGUGAGUGGGGAGCGGCUGCUAAGCUUCCUUGACUGUGUAGGAUUCCUAAAAGGCUGCAGGGUUGGAUGCUCCGUGGGGCGGCUUCGGCAUUUGCCCCAUGUCAGAGUGCUGAACGGCGAAAGCUGUGAAGGAGCUGGAGACGCAGCAUUCAAGUAGGACUGUCCCAUAGGCAAGGUGACCCGGCACGGGACUUUCCCUGCCCUAUGACCCUUGCUGGGACAGCACAGGGCCGUGACAGCUGCAUUUUGGGGACAGUCUGGAGGCCUGCACCCUGCAGAGCUGGGCAGAGGACAGACGUGCAACAAGAACCCCAGGACACUGCAGUCCAUGUGCUCUAGGUAAAACUGGUGCAUUGGAAAAUGUCUCCCAUGGAGAGAAAUCAAAACUGAGAUGGCGAGAGAGGAAAGCCAUUGUCUACAGUAUCAUUAUCCUGCGGGCUGAGGAGAUGGAGGGCUAACAAGAUUUAAAUACUACAUCAGGCUUAAGAUUUCUCCUCUCUUAAAAUCUCAUUUGCUAUAAAACAAAUGUACGAUAAUAUGGGAUCCGAUACUCACUGCACAUAUUUGAUUUCCUCCAUAAUUGUAAAGAAGAAAAUGUUGGUGACUCAACAAGUCUUUGUUUAAAAAGAAAACACAGCGUGCCUCGGGAAAACAUGCUUCUUGAAAGCAUAAUUUUUGUUUGCUUUGGUUCUUAUUUUUGCUUUUUGUUUGUUUUGCUUUUUAUUGUCAAGAACUAUGCUUUGACUGCGACCUUGUAGCAUUACACCCAUAAAUAGAAGCAGCUUUAGAUUCAUGGGAAACACAUUUUUUCUGAUGGUGGAAGAAGUAGGCCAAGCAAGCCGGCUCUCCGGAGAGGUUGAACCCCAAAGGACACACAGUGUGGGCAAAGCAAGGGCUGUGUUCACAAGGCAGCAUGAUCACCGUAGUCAUCGUCCUUCCAUGGUUCAUUCCCAGUGAAGCCACCUGCCCUCGUCUCUUGUUUUUCCUUCAGUUCCUCGGUCAAUAACAAUUCUUCCUUUCCUGGUGGUCUCAGCACCCACCUGAAGGAGUGAAUUAAAAUAGAGAGAAGCAUUAAAUAGCUGGCCAGAAAUGCACAAACACCAUCACUUCACAGCAAGACAUUAGCAGCAAAAUGUCCCUGAAGAAAAGGGACCGGGGGAAUUCACCUCCCCGAGGUGACCAGCAAGACCCUGUGCGCUUCAGAGCUCACUGCGUGCUGUGCCUGUGCUUCGGGAGGUGAGAGCAGGAGUCUGCAGGAGCCGAGCUGACCCCAUGCUGUGGGCUUCAACUCCCCACCACCCUCUCCACCGCAGGGCCCUGUGCAUCCUCUGAGUCACUGCAAGAGGCAGAGCCAGAGAUGCGAGGGCAUGCUGAUCUUGGAGACCCUUCUAACAGGUGGCAGUGGCCAAACCAAAUGUUUGCGUGCGCAGGCAGUGCAAUUCCUCUGUGUCUUUCCUGGAAAGAACUAUGAGUUUUCAAACAGCCAGGGUCUGCCAGCUCCCUGGGGUGGCCACUGGGCUCAGAGCUCGCCGCUACCGACAGCAGGGCGGGAGCCCAGCCCGGACACGCUGUGCUGGGGAGAAUUUCCCCUGCUUGUUUUGGGCAGCAGCACCUCCUCCAGUCAUGCCUACCUGCAGGCUGUCAUUAGAUCUACCCAAAAAGAUUUUGCCAUUCAUGCUUUUGGCUACUUACCUGCUCUCCCUGCAUUACAGAAAGGGGAGAGCUCAGGAGUGGGUGCAUCACUGAGAGAUAGUCGUUAACUUGGCAAGAGCAGCAAGGCAAUUAAGACCCCAAAAGGAAGCAACAGAAGCCCCCCAAGACUUCACUACAGCACUUAACGUUGCUGUAAACUGUCCCUCAAUGAUAAGCUGGGGAAAUAAUCUUCUUAUUCAGG